Molecule: transfer RNA, 71 nt
Filed under: Actinomycetes bacterium
Lineage: Bacteria; Bacillati; Actinomycetota; Actinomycetes
Also listed under: 3 other names
Description: Actinobacteria bacterium tRNA-Gly
Rfam family: tRNA
About the family: Transfer RNA (tRNA) molecules are approximately 80 nucleotides in length. Their secondary structure includes four short double-helical elements and three loops (D, anti-codon, and T loops). Further hydrogen bonds mediate the characteristic L-shaped molecular structure. tRNAs have two regions of fundamental functional importance: the anti-codon, which is responsible for specific mRNA codon recognition, and the 3' end, to which the tRNAs corresponding amino acid is attached (by aminoacyl-tRNA synthetases). tRNAs cope with the degeneracy of the genetic code in two manners: having more than one tRNA (with a specific anti-codon) for a particular amino acid; and 'wobble' base-pairing, i.e. permitting non-standard base-pairing at the 3rd anti-codon position.
Source: RNAcentral
GCGGGCGUAGCUCAAUGGUAGAGCCCCAGCCUUCCAAGCUGGUUAUGCGGGUUCGAUCCCCGCCGCCCGCU